UACGUAGGGGGCAAGCGUUGUCCGGAAUCAUUGGGCGUAAAGCGCGUGUAGGCGGCCCGAUAAGUCCGCUGUGAAAGUCCAGGGCUCAACCCUGGAAUGCCGGUGGAUACUGUCGGGCUCGAGUCCGGAAGAGGCGAGUGGAAUUCCUGGUGUAGCGGUGAAAUGCGCAGAUAUCAAGUAGAACACCAGUGGCGAAGGCGAGUCCCUGGAAAACUCCUGACACUGAGGCACGAAAGCUAGGGGAGCAAACAGG
This 253-nucleotide ribosomal RNA is filed under the name uncultured bacterium. Its description in RNAcentral is "partial 16S ribosomal RNA". It matches the Rfam family "Bacterial small subunit ribosomal RNA", at positions 524 to 776 of the family's 1533-position model. The record is from RNAcentral.